UUGAACGCUGGCGGCAGGCCUAACCCCUGCAAGCCGCGCGGAUGAAGGGAGCUUGCUCCUGGAUUCAGCGGCGGACGGGUGAGUAAUGCCUAGGAAUCUGCCUGGUAGUGGGGGAUAACGUCCGGAAACGGGCGCUAAUACCGCAUACGUCCUGAGGGAGAAAGUGGGGGAUCUUCGGACCUCACGCUAUCAGAUGAGCCUAGGUCGGAUUAGCUAGUUGGUGGGGUAAAGGCCUACCAAGGCGACGAUCCGUAACUGGUCUGAGAGGAUGAUCAGUCACACUGGAACUGAGACACGGUCCAGACUCCUACGGGAGGCAGCAGUGGGGAAUAUUGGACAAUGGGCGAAAGCCUGAUCCAGCCAUGCCGCGUGUGUGAAGAAGGUCUUCGGAUUGUAAAGCACUUUAAGUUGGGAGGAAGGGCAGUAAGUUAAUACCUUGCUGUUUUGACGUUACCAACAGAAUAAGCACCGGCUAACUUCGUG
RNAcentral lists this ribosomal RNA (483 nucleotides) under uncultured bacterium. RNAcentral describes it as "partial 16S ribosomal RNA". It matches the Rfam family "Bacterial small subunit ribosomal RNA", at positions 30 to 507 of the family's 1533-position model. The record is from RNAcentral.